GCAACUUUAGAAACUAGGGUUUUCGAAGUGAAACUUACUUGAAAUGGGUAUCAUCGUGAUCGUAUGGUCUUCAGGAGUACGAUGGCACUCUUAAAUCCGUCGUUGGUGGAAGUUUAGGGUGUUUUUGUGGUGGUCUUGGUGGUUGCCGUGUGUUCGAGAGGGUGAGAGAGAGAGAUCUGAAAUGGAAGAAGAAGAGAGAAAAGGAAAGGUUACGGAAAAUGGGGAGGAAAUUAGGGUAUAGGACCCUACCUAAAGUCCAACACAACAAUAGCUUAGAAAUUUUAGGUAAAACAAACACCAAAAUUACGCACCUUAAUCCCGUUUAAGGGCGUUUUUGUAAUUUCACGUCCUCGGAAUUAAAAAUUCCGGGACGGGCUGUGACAAUCUCCCCUCCUUAUAGAAUUUCGUCCCCGAAAUUCCAGCCACCAACCAAACUCUCAAUACUAAAAAAAUAGCCUCGGAUACAUAUCUCUCAUCCGUUCUUUUGUCUCCCAAGUAGCUUCUUCUGCUGAAUGGUUCAUCCACAAUACUUUUACCAAGCUCACGAUCUUAUUCCUCAGAGUCUUAUCUUUCCAAUCCAGUAUAGUCACUGGUUCCUCAUCAAGUCGAAUCCGGAUUAAUCUCCAAAGGUUGAACCAGAAUCUUAUGCGACAAAUCUGCCACCUAGUGACAACGCAUCGAACACAAAAUACAUUAUGUGCCUUAGCCAAUUCUGAAGGCAUCACAAACUUGUAUGCAACUUCAUCGAUUCCUUUAGUGAUCAAAAACGAUCUGAUGUGUCUAAGACUUAUCUUGUCUUCCUUUCCAAAUCUUGCUAUUUCUUUUCAUGGUGAAAUUUCCAAAAAUAUCAAACCAUUUACCUUACACACUCGAUUAGUGGCAUAUCCAUCUGUUGAUCUCUUUUGCCAUUCAUGGUUACUUCAGGUUAACUUAAUCACCUUAAUACUUUGAGGAGACUCAUCCAUAGUCUCAGGGUCUACUAAAACUCUUUCUUGAUCGAAUCUUUCUCUACCCAGAAACGUUCCAUUCACAAGUCAUCAAAAACCGACUCACAUGACACAUUUCAUGGUCCUUAUGGCGUUACUUCGGAAACUGCACAACCAACAUACUUAAGAAACUUAGCAGUUCCGUAAUCUAAUUCUCUUUUCCAUAAAACAAAUAAGUAGUGUUGCACUGUCUGGGAAAGGUUGUUACUCAACACUGGAGUAAAUGUACUAACUUGUUACUUAACAAGUAUAACUUCUUCUCGAUCUUCCAUUCUUAAUUUUUCUUCCGUUGGUUUUCAAUCCACAAGAUGAUACUCUUGGCAACGUGCCAGAUAUUAAUCUUACUGUAGUCUUCUCACCAAGUGCUUCAACUAGAACAAACUUUACGAUCACCCUGAUCGUACAAUCAUGUUCAUUAAGCAAUACAAUUCACUUUCGCUGCCUCAUAUCAAAAUCCUUCCAAGUAAUGGAUAUUGAAGACUUUUUGGAUUCGUAAAAAAAAUCUUGCAUUCCUACUAAAAUAUAAUGUCUCCAUAACUUCACAGCAAGAAUGGUAAUCGUGACUUCCAAAUCACCAGUAGGGUAAUUCAUCUUAUGAGAUUCCAUUCAUCGUGGAACGUAUGCAAUCACCCUAACAUUUGCAUCAACAUGCCUCCAAUACCAUUCAAGAAACAUCACUAAAAAUUUAUGAUUACCACUAUUCUCUGGGAAUACCAAAAAUACGUGCAUGAGUGAGGAAAAUACUUCAGUUGUUUGAAUCCUUUGCUCACAAUUUCCUUCCCACUCAUACAUGACCUCUUUUCUCAACAGUCUCGGUCAAUGACAAAGCAAUGACUGAAAAAUCUUUCACAACCAUCCAAGAUAGCCUGGUAAGCUAAGAAAUUCCAAAUCUCAAUUACGACUCGUGGUUGUUCCAAAUUCUCAAUUUCUGCUAUCUUUUAAGGAUUCACUUGAAUACCUUAAGAAUAUAUAACAAAUCUCAGAAUGCCACCUGAUUCAUCUAACUUUAGCAUUUGCUACUUAGCAUACAACCGACAUUCUUCCAAUCUUUGUUCCACCGACUUAAUACGUUUACAUGCUCUGCUCUGGCUCAGAAUAUGCCAGAAUAUCUUCAAUGAAAAUGAUAUCUAUUUAUCAAGGCAUUAUUGGAAUACUUCAUCCAAUAACUCAUAAAAUAGCAUGAGUAUCCAUAUAGCAUCACCAAACUUCAUAAAGACUAUAACGAGUCCAGAAAACCAUCUUAUGAUCAACGUCACUUAUAAUAUUCAAUUGGUAGUAACCAGAUCUCAAUUCAAUCUUUGAAUCUUCGCAAUUACUUCUGAGCUGGUUAAAUAAACAUCAGUACAUUACCAUGGAUAACGGUUCUUAAUCGUUACCCCGACUCCAUUGUCUAUAAUCAAUGAACAAUCUCUAAGUCCAUUUUCUUUCUCACCAACAAACUGGUGCUCCUCAAAAGUGUUGUACUAGGUUGAAUGAAACUUUUAUCAACCAAUUCUUUCAACUGAAUUUCCAAUUCCCUUAACUCAUCCUGAACCAAUCUUUAACAUAGAUUUAUACCUGGCAACAAUUCAAUAGUGAACCUCAUAUCUCUGCCCGAAGGCAAUCCAGGUAUACUUUCAGGGAAGACAUCAAGAAAGUCUAACCCCUUUUGACAUUAUUCACACUACUCCAAACAACAUCAUUUAGCACCACAUGAGCUAAUAUUUUUGACAGCCUUUCAAAAACAAUCUCUUUGCUCUCACAGCGUAAAUAACGGCCUGACUCAAUCCACUUUGCAUACUUACAAAAGUAAUCUCUGGUCAUCCAGAUCGAUGGAAAGUGACUGGUUUCCCGUAACAAUCCAUUUAGUCACAAUUAUAACCAACCAAUCUAAUGGAAAUAAUUUAACCGACACAAUAUAUAUUCUAUUAUUAUUAAGCAUUCUAAAUAAGUACAAUACUAACAUAAAAUAAUCUACCAGGUUGCUUGCUUAACGAAUCCACGAAUGAGUUAUUAAUAUUACGGUCUGCAGCCCGCAAUACUGAUAAAUCAUCGUUGUCUCGAUAAGUAGGCAACCACUCUCAAAGAUAUAACAUUACUAUUUUGUUACUCAAUGCAAAAUACAUACACUCGUCUCAACUACAUUUAUUUACUACUUUCUAGGUAAUAACAUACAUAAUAAGAAAUAUAUCAGCCGAAGUCAACUAGAAUGACCAAUACGGUUGAUUCAACUCUUAUCUUAAUAAUACGUCGGCCGGAUCCACUUCGCGUGGUCGGUACGGCCGAGCCUAUAACUCACUAAUUUCUCAUGGUCUGUACAGCUGAACAUAUAACUCAUCAAAUCUCUCUGUACUCACGGUCAAUCCGACCAAACUACUAAGUCCAUAACUCUGCUGAAUCGACACUAUGAUAUCAUGGAAAAUUAUUGAGUACAACUGAUUCUAGGGACGAUUCACAAUUCUGUGUCCCCUCUGUUCACAUAAACACAUUCAUUAAUUUCACACUUCCCAAAGUGUUAAUUUUUGUACCUGCUGCACAAAGUACAUUUCCUUUACUCGAGACACCUUGUCUCAAAUAUCUGGGAUUACCAGUAUAUCCAUCACUUUUACUCUGACCAGCGACAUUAAAACCUCAACUGGAAAAAUUAACUCUAGCUUCACUUCUUUUGAAGCUCUGAGUCUUUCGAUAUUCUUGAUAUGACGAAUCAUUAACUUUAUCGUUCUUUCAUCUAAUUCCCAUUCUUUUCUUAUUCAUCUUUACUCUCGCUGAUCAUAUUCUCAGAGUCCUCAAGGCUCAACAACAUCUCAUAUACUCCUGGUAAGAAAUACCAUGGAUAGGGGUCACCCAAAAAUACCACUUCCUUUUGUCACCCAGCCUAAAACAACAUAACACCUCCACCAAAUUCACAACAAUAUCUGGAUGGAACGAGGCAAGUCUGAAAACUUUCUAUAAUAUCCCUCGAUCAUCACCUUCCUUGUCUCAUAUUUGUAAACUCUUGUUUACUACCAUCAAUAAAUGCCAGAGGGAUAAACUUUUCCUUAAACAAUUUUAAAUCGGUUGUUCCUCCGAUGACAACAAAUCAUACUCCUGUUUCCACCAGGAUACACAAAUUCAUACCCAAAACCAGGUAGUCGUCUCGACCCCCUGUCAGAAGGAAGAUUCCUUUGACUUGCAUAAUCUCUGAAACAUCUUUUCCAAAUGGUUAAAACCGUUACUUCGCUCCCUCAGGUUCAUCAUUUCAUAAGGUGAUUCAAAUUCGACUCAUAACCCGUCUUAAAAUGUCCCUUUUUAUAAUAGACUGAAUCACCAUAAUAAUAGUUUUCCCUAAACCACUAUAUUAGGGAGACUAAAUUCCUCUAACUAAGUGGCUUGCUACAAGACAGUGUAGUUCUGACAGAAUUCACUAGAACUUCUCAAAAUGUCCAAGAUUGCAACCAUGCUCUGAUACCAACUGACACACCCCGUCCCGAAGGAGGGCAUGCUGGCCGUCACGUGAGAGUGACGUAACCAUUUGCACAGUACGGAAGCUUUAAGAUACAAUUUAUAAGUUGAUACACCCGAAGGUGAGUCCUAAUUUUGUCCAAUCUGUCAGAACCCCGCUGUAUUCCUCGUAGUCACCACACCUUUGUGAUUCCUGAACCUGGAGGGGCGCAAAACCAAAAUUCAGUGGGUCAGUAAAACAAUUCUUUUCCAAAUCCAAACAUUUUUCAAAAACGUUGUAACCCCUCUCUCUGUAAAACCUGUAUAUUUUCCCAGAAAUGUAAAAUAUAAAUAUACAUAUAUAUUCUCAAUACUUUAAUUCAUUAACUCAACAUUUUUUUCUUUAUCAAUCAUGCCAUGCCAUGUCUAAUUCAAACAGUUAAGUAUGGAUGCAUCAACAAUAAUCAUAUCAGGUGCAAGAAAGUAAUCAACCGGAGGCCCUCUAAUAGCCCUGUACGGUUGAACCUAGAGCUCAAAAUCUAUCACUAUCACUCUACCGGAGUCACCUCUGUGACCCGUCCGGCCUUCUGCACACAAGUUACGCUCUAGUGCUUCUCAUAAAUCAUCUGUGCACAUAAUCUAAGGUCACCCACCAGUCGGAAUCUCACUAACACUCUCGCGACUGGCCUGUCGUACCCACUCCGCGUGGACUGUACGACUAGCAUCUACUUGGAUCCAAGGCGAGCGUGCGAUGCGGUGAAUACUAUAAGCACUAAACCAUGGUGCAGGAUUUGAGCUCAAUAUAUAUCAUCAUCAUCAUAACAGUAAUUAAAUACUCACCUGUGCGUCCACCGCACCAUUUCAUACAUAUGCAUCAUAAAUCAAUUCUUACCUGUGCGUCCACCGCACCAAUUCAUACAUAUGCAUCAUAAAUCAAUUCUUACAUGUGCGUCCACCGCACCAAUUCAUACAUAUGCAUCAUAUAUUAAUUCAUGCAUGGCAUUUCAACUCACAUUUCUAUAUACUUUUUCAUAUACUUUUAUGCAUUUUCAUUUAAAGCAUAAUUUCAUGCAUUUUCAAUUUCUGGGAAACGUCAAGUAUAUAUAUAUAUAUACGGAAAACAAAACUGCCCACUCACCUGGAGUUCGCCCUACAACUCCCUAGCACAAUACGCCAAGGCGUCAUGACGAUCGGCGCCUAAAACAAUAAUCAAUUCCAACCUCAGAAUUCAUAUCGAUAGAAUAUAUAACUUAUAUAAAAUACGUCACUACGUAGAUUGAUCCGGAAGAUCCACCCACUCAGAUUUUAAUCCAUAACUUCCAGAGGUCCACAUUAUACCUCUAGGACAACAUCCUAAAAUUUCAUUACCAUCCAACGGUCGGAUCUCCGUCAAUUUCCAAAACUAAGUGACGGUUAACAUUUUUUAUAUUAUGGACUUACAAUUCCAAUUCCGGAAGAUCCGUAACUCGGAUUCCCAAUCCGUAAGUUCCAAUAAUCCUCAAAUAUUACGUAUUACAACGUAUCAAAGUUUGGUGACGAUCCAACGGUCGGAUCGUCAAUUCACAUUUUCACCUAAAUGUGAAAAUUAUAAAACGUUAUUUGAACACCUAACCAACAAUCCUCAAUAACUUUCUCAUACGGUGUUCAAUUUAGGUAUAUGAAUAUACCAUAGUGAUCUACUCGACGUCACGGACGUCGACAUAUUUUUAAAAUAAUUUUAUUUUAUUUUUUUAUUUUUACUGUAGCACCUUCUUCUUCCUUGGGUCGCCGGACUGGUUUUUCCGGCGGCCGUUUUCUGGGCAGUUUUUUCAAAUUGCCAUUAACUUUGUCAUUUCUCAACGAAAUCAAGUGAUUCAAAAACGAAAGUUGUAGCCCUUGAAGAGACAAAGAGAAUGGUACCUUGCACAACACCUAUUUAGCCGUGGUUUGGCCGGAAACUGCCUCGAAAGCCUCGGAGGUCGCCGGAAACUGGGUAUUUUUCAAAUGAGUAUAAACUUCUUCAAUACUCAACGAAAUUGAGUGAAACAAAAAUGAAAGUUGUAGUACUUGACGAGACGAAGAGAUUGAUACCUACCUCGACUCCUAACUCGCCGGGGAUUCGCCGGAAAACGCCUCGAAAGCUCCGGCCAAACUUUGAACUUGUCGAUCUCCGUGUUCUUACGUCCAAAAACUUCCAACGAAGCACUCCGAGCUUCCUUGGGACAUCCUAAAGCUCACUAUGAGCUUGGUUUUGGCCUAAAACACAACCAAUUCAAAGCUCAUGAACAGUACACAUUCACGGCAACUUUAGAAACUAGGGUUUUCGAAGUGAAACUUACUUGAAAUGGGUAUCAUCGUGAUCGUAUGGUCUUCAGGAGUACGAUGACACUCUUAAAUCCGUCGUUGGUGGAAGUUUAGGGUGUUUUUGUGGUGGUCUUGGUGGUUGCCGUGUGUUCGAGAGGGUGAGAGAGAGAGAUCUGAAAUGGAAGAAGAAGAGAGAAAAGGAAAGGUUACGGAAAAUGGGGAGGAAAUUAGGGUAUAGGACCCUACCUAAAGUCCAACACAACAAUAGCUUAGAAAUUUUAGGUAAAACAAACACCAAAAUUACGCACCUUAAUCCCGUUUAAGGGCGUUUUUGUAAUUUCACGUCCUCGGAAUUAAAAAUUCCGGGACGGGCUGUGACA
Molecule: long non-coding RNA, 7048 nt
Filed under: Malus domestica (apple)
Lineage: Eukaryota; Viridiplantae; Streptophyta; Magnoliopsida; Rosales; Rosaceae
Description: long non-coding RNA (MDOM_LNC009637)
Source: RNAcentral